GACGUAGCGUAGUCUGGUUAGCGCGCCUGCUUUGGGAGCAGGAGGCCGUGAGUUCGAAUCUCACCGUC
This 68-nucleotide transfer RNA is filed under the name marine eukaryotic metagenome. It matches the Rfam family "tRNA". From Rfam's summary of the family: Transfer RNA (tRNA) molecules are approximately 80 nucleotides in length. The record is from RNAcentral.